GGGCAAUUAGCUCAGCUGGUUAGAGCGCGCCGUUCACAUCGGCGAGGUCACAGGUUCAAGUCCUGUAUUGCCCA
RNAcentral lists this transfer RNA (74 nucleotides) under Fibrobacterota bacterium. RNAcentral describes it as "Fibrobacteres bacterium tRNA-Val". It matches the Rfam family "tRNA". Rfam says of the family: Transfer RNA (tRNA) molecules are approximately 80 nucleotides in length. Their secondary structure includes four short double-helical elements and three loops (D, anti-codon, and T loops). Lineage: Bacteria; Pseudomonadati; Fibrobacterota. RNAcentral also lists the same sequence under 1 other name. The record is from RNAcentral.